Molecule: ribosomal RNA, 320 nt
Filed under: uncultured Limnofila
Lineage: Eukaryota; Cercozoa; Cercomonadida
Description: SSU rRNA
Rfam family: Eukaryotic small subunit ribosomal RNA (bases 103-320)
Source: RNAcentral
GAUUUCUGGUACGGCGCACUUGGCCCGCUUCGGUUACGAGGUCGAGUGCCGGUGUGCGCCUGCCAUCCUUCUGGAAUACGACUCUCCCUUCACUGGGUUGGGCCGGAAUCCAGAUCAUUUACUUUGAAAAAAUUAGAGUGUUUAAAGCAGGCUUACGCUAUGAAUACAUUAGCAUGGAAUAAUAAUUUAGGACUUUGGUCUUAUUUUGUUGGUUUCUAGGACUAAAGUAAUGAUUGAUAGGGAUAGUUGGGGGUGCUAGUAUUCAGCGGCCAGAGGUGAAAUUCUUGGAUUCGCUGAAGACUAACUUAUGCGAAAGCAUU